This 452-nucleotide ribosomal RNA is filed under the name uncultured Fibrobacter sp. RNAcentral describes it as "partial 16S ribosomal RNA". It matches the Rfam family "Bacterial small subunit ribosomal RNA", at positions 341 to 792 of the family's 1533-position model. The record is from RNAcentral. Lineage: Bacteria; Pseudomonadati; Fibrobacterota; Fibrobacteria; Fibrobacterales; Fibrobacteraceae.
ACGGGAGGCUGCGGUAGGGAAUAUUGCACAAUGGGGGGAACCCUGAUGCAGCAACGCCACGUGUGGGAAGAAGCAUUUCGGUGUGUAAACCACUGUCGUGAGGGAAUAAUGCUCGGUCUCUGCCGAGUUGAAUGUACCUCGCAAGGAAGCACCGGCAAACUUCGUGCCAGCAGCCGCGGUAAUACGAGGGGGGCAAGCGUUGUUCGGAAUCACUGGGCGUAAAGGGAGCGUAGGCGGAGACGCAAGCAGUCUGUACAAUACCGGGGCCCAACCCCGGACCUGCAGACUGGACUGUGUCUCUUGGAUAGUUCAGGGGGAGGCGGAAUUUCUGGUGUAGCGGUGGAAUGCGUAGAGAUCAGGAAGAACACCGAUGGCGAAGGCAGCCUGCUGGGGACUCAUCGACGCUGAGGCUCGAAAGUGCGGGUAGCAAACAGGAUUAGAUUACCCUGGUA